GAUGAACGCUGGCGGCGUGCCUAAUACAUGCAAGUCGAGCGAACGGACGAGAAGCUUGCUUCUCUGAUGUUAGCGGCGGACGGGUGAGUAACACGUGGAUAACCUACCUAUAAGACUGGGAUAACUUCGGGAAACCGUAGCUAAUACCGGAUAAUAUUUUGAACCGCAUGGUUCAAAAGUGAAAGACGGUCUUGCUGUCACUUAUAGAUGGAUCCGCGCUGCAUUAGCUAGUUGGUAAGGUAACGGCUUACCAAGGCAACGAUGCAUAGCCGACCUGAGAGGGUGAUCGGCCACACGGGAACGUGGACACGGUCCAGACGCCUACGGGAGGCAGCAGUAGGGAAUCUUCCGCAAUGGGCGAAAGCCUGACGGAGCAACGCCGAGUGAGUGAUGAAGGUCUUCGGAUCGUAAAACUCUGUUAUUAGGGAAGAACAUAUGUGUAAGUAACUGUGCACAUCUUGACGGUACCUAAUCAGAAAGCCACGGCUAACUACGUG
RNAcentral lists this ribosomal RNA (497 nucleotides) under uncultured bacterium. Its description in RNAcentral is "partial 16S ribosomal RNA". It matches the Rfam family "Bacterial small subunit ribosomal RNA", at positions 28 to 507 of the family's 1533-position model. The record is from RNAcentral.